This 90-nucleotide ribosomal RNA is filed under the name Halanaerobium saccharolyticum. Lineage: Bacteria; Bacillati; Bacillota; Clostridia; Halanaerobiales; Halanaerobiaceae. The record is from RNAcentral.
CUUGUUCCCAUCUCGAACACAAAAGUUAAGUCCUCCAGCGCCUAUGGUACUGCAUUGGUAACGAUGUGGGAGAGUAGGUCACUGCCGGUC